GCCACCGCGCUUCCCGCCACGGCUUGCCCGCCCCACGCCUCGCGGCCGCCCGGACCCAAAAGGGGUGGGUCCGCAGAGAUUCACCGGCCAGGCCCACAACAAGUUCUGCCGCUUCCCGCGCCGGCCCCCAGCUGCGGUCUGGGCGCAGCGGGCAGAGGGCGGGCGGUAGUGGGCAAUGGGCGGCCGGGCCGCAGUGGGCAGAGGGGCGCAGCGGCCAAGCAGUCGUGGGCAGCAGGUGGCCAGGCGGCAGCGGGCAGUCCGGGCGCUCCAGGCUCGGCUCACACAGCUGGACUUUGCGCAAUUGCUGCGCUGGCAAAACUCGGGCGCCGCUUUCCUUAAACCCCUGCUUCCUCUCACAUGGGGAUUGAAUCCUCGGACUCUGUCCGAGCCUUGAGCAGUGCCACCUGCAGGUGACUCGCCACUAUCGCCGGCCGGUCCUUCUGGAGACUGACAAGAAUCAGGCUUGAAACAAUCGUUUCUCACGCGCCCACUCCGUGCCCGGCAUCAUGCUGGCGCAGGAAUACAAAGAAAGCAGAAGCGUUGGAUCCUCGCUCUGUGAAUGGUAAAGUGGGAAGGAACUGAGAAGUCAUCCAAUCCCACUCCUUUGGUUUCCAGACCAGGAAAGUGAGAUUCCGAAAACUUGUGAUUUGCUCAACAGAAUUGACAUUAGAACUCAGACUUUCACUGGACUCAACAAAAUCUAAACCUGAACUAGGCUAUAGAGUAUUACCACAUGCAAAGAGAAGAAGCUAGAAUUACAACCAAGAAGAAUUUGCCCAGCAAAUUUUCAAUAUUUAUUUAAUAAAAUAGAGGACUCUCAAAUGUUCUUGAUCAAAAGACUAGAGUUGAAUAGAAAAUUGGACAUUCAAGCACAAGGCUCUAAAGAAGCCUUUUUAAAAAGGCAUAUAAGAAAAAGAAAUCAUAAAACACUUAAAAGGUGAAAAUGUUUAUGUUCCUAUAUGGAAAAGAUGUCUCCUAAGAAUUUUAUCAUUAUUAGGACAGUUAGAAGUAGUCUGCUUAGAUAGAAGUUAUGGAUGUAAUGUGUUUAUAUUGGGAUAAUCUCCUAAAAAAUAAUUCAAAAGAGAGAGGGGCAGCUAGGUAGCACAGUGGAUAGAGCACCAGCCCUAAAACCAGCAGGACCUGAGUUCAAAUCUGAUCUCAGACACUUAAUCCUUCCUAGCUGUGUGACCUUGGGCAAGGCAAUUAACCCUAAUUACCUUAGCAAAGAAAAAAGAAUGCACUGGGGAGAAGGGGGAAGGGAGAGGGAAAAUGAGGGAAAUUAUCUCACAUAAAAAAGACAUGCAAAGAAGGGCUUUUACAAUGGAGAGGAAAAUGAAGGAGGUGGCAGGUAAUACUUAAAUCUCUUUCUCAUGAGAAUUGAUUCAAAGACUAUAUAUAUAGUCUUCCCUUAGUAUAUAUAUACUAAGUCACAUAUAGUAAUAAAUCAUAUCCCAUAGGAGGGAAAGAAAUAAGGAAAAUAAGGAUGAGGAAAAUGGUAAAAUGGAAGAUGGAUUAAGGGAGACUGUGGUCAAAAACAAAACAGACUUUUGAGGAAGAACCAAGUAAAAAGAAAGAUAAGCAGAAGACAAUAGAAUGGAGGGAAAUCCACAGUUAUUAUUACUGUGAAUGGGAAUGAGAUGAAUUCACCCAUAAAAUGGAAGCAGAUGCCUAAAUGUAUUAGGAUAGUAUUGUGCCUUGAGAAAUGAGGCAUUUAAUUUAUCAGGAUUUAGAAAAACCUGAGAUUUGUAGGAAUUGAUAUAGAGUGAAGUGAGUAAAUAGAACCAAAAAACAGUUUAUAUGAUCAUAUUUAAAAAACAACUUUCAAAGAAUUAAAAACUUCAAUCAAUUAACUAAUCAUGACUUCAGAAAACUAAUAAUAAAGUAUUAUUCCAAUUUUGGGAGAAAAUGCACAGACAUGCAUUUUUAGAUAUAGUCAAUGUGUUGAUUUACUUUGACUAUAGUUAUUUAUUCCAAAGGAAGGCUUCUGGGGGAGGAGAGAAAAUGAAUUGGUGCCCAAUCAUUGUUUCAGUCAAAGGGUCGAGGUCUCCCACUGCAUCCAGAGCCAUCUCAAGCCAAUCCUGAUCUGUAUCUGACCACUGGACCCAGAUGGAGUCUGGAGCAGAAAGUGAGGCAAUGGAUCUUGCACAGCCCUCCCUCACUUAGCAUCAUUCUCUGAUAUCACAGUGUUCUUCAAGAAAAAUGGGAAAAUAAGUGCCCAAUAAGCAUUUGAUGAAUUGAAUAUAGUCUUGAAAAAUAAGAGGAAAACUGAUUGGGAAAAACUACCAAGUUUUGCCUUAGUUUAUGCUUAAAGAAGCAAUUCAAGAAGAAAUAAAUAAAUGUGUUUAAAUUCCAUAUGCACAUUUCUUCAGGAAAUAUACAAAGUUGUAACCUCCAACUUCACCAAUACUAAGGCAGAGAGCAUCAAAACCCAUAUUCCCUGAGCCAUGUCAGCUUUUCUCUCCUCAGUAAGCCAGAGGUUUCUCACCUUACAAUAUUCUUUCACUGAAUGUCAUCAUUGAAGGAGGCAAACCAAGCAAAGGGCCCCAACUAAGAAAGAGGAAGAGGUUUAGACCAAUACAGCUUUUUAUAGUUAGCUCUUUUCCAGCUCCACAACUGCAGCCAGCCAGAGAAGUCACUGUUUACCACAUGAGGAGCAGACAAGAACCACCUACAGAGUGUCUAUGCAUGCUUCAGCCUUUCCAAGUCACUGCCAUUUGAUAUUAUUUCACGUUUCCUGAAAACAAGCUCUUCAGUCUAUCUGAGCAUGUCGAAAUCCUCUGCUCUGGACUGUAAGGAGUUUUAAACUUAGAAUAAGGUGAACAUUUGACAAAUGCUUUUUCAUUCACUCAUGCUACUCAUUUAUUCAUUAAUUCUAUAUAAGGACAUAUAAGCACAUGAAUUGAAAAACAAAAAACAUUUAAUUUAAAAUGAAUAAUGAGGUAAAUGGAAAUUAAUCAAAUCAGAUGUUUCCUGAAUCCAUACCGAAAUGAGAUUCUUCCUCACUCCUAGAGAAAUGCUAGCCAACUAAUUAUUUCACAUCCUCAGUAUAGUGAGAAUUAUUUCAACUAGCUUAUAGAGUUGCAGGAUAUAAAAUAAACCCACACAAAUGAUCAGCAUAUUGCCAGCAAAGUUCAGCAGGAAGAGAUAGAAAGAGAAAUCCCAUUUAAAAUAACUGUAGACAAUAUAAAAUACUUUAAAGUAUUUUUGCCAUCUGGCAAAACAAACCUGGGAACUUUUAUGAAUACAGUUAUAGUUUAUACAAUUUACUUUUCAUAUAAAUAAAAGUCAGAUCUAAACAACAGGGGAAAUAUUAAUUGCUCAUGGAUAAGAUGAACCAAUAAAGUAAAAGUAACUAUUUUACUCAAA
This is a long non-coding RNA of Antechinus flavipes (yellow-footed antechinus), 3366 nucleotides long. RefSeq lists it as uncharacterized. Lineage: Eukaryota; Metazoa; Chordata; Mammalia; Dasyuromorphia; Dasyuridae. The transcript has 3 exons. The record is from RefSeq and is a predicted model, not a curated record.